AGAGUUUGAUUAUGGCUCAGAUUGAACGCUGGCGGCAGGCCUAACACAUGCAAGUCGAGCGGUAGAGAGAAGCUUGCUUCUCUUGAGAGCGGCGGACGGGUGAGUAAUGCCUAGGAAUCUGCCUGGUAGUGGGGGAUAACGUUCGGAAACGGACGCUAAUACCGCAUACGUCCUACGGGAGGCAGCAGUGGGGAAUAUUGGACAAUGGGCGAAAGCCUGAUCCAGCCAUGCCGCGUGUGUGAAGAAGGUCUUCGGAUUGUAAAGCACUUUAAGUUGGGAGGAAGGGCAGUUACCUAAUACGUGAUUGUUUUGACGUUACCGACAGAAUAAGCACCGGCUAACUCUGUGCCAGCAGCCGCGGUAAU
RNAcentral lists this ribosomal RNA (365 nucleotides) under uncultured Gammaproteobacteria bacterium. RNAcentral's name for it is "bacterial SSU rRNA". It matches the Rfam family "Bacterial small subunit ribosomal RNA", at positions 8 to 524 of the family's 1533-position model. The record is from RNAcentral. Lineage: Bacteria; Pseudomonadati; Pseudomonadota; Gammaproteobacteria.